GAAGCCCCGGUAAACGGCGGCCGUAACUAUAACGGUCCUAAGGUAGCGAAAUUCCUUGUCGGGUAAGUUCCGACCUGCACGAAUGGCGUAACGACUUUCCCACUGUCUCAACCACAGACCCGGCGAAAUUGAAGUACGAGUAAAGAUGCUCGUUGGCUACAGAAGGACGGAAAGACCCCGUGGACCUUUACUAUAACUUGGUAUUGGGUUGUGGCACGUGUUGUGUAGGAUAGGUCGGAGACUAGGAAGCGUGUGCGCCAGCAUGCGUGGAGUCACCCUUGAAAUACGACCCUGCUCAUGUCGGAACUCUAACCUAGGACCCUGAUCGGGUUCGGGAACAGUGCCAGGCGGGUAGUUUGACUGGGGCGGUCGCCUCCCAAAAGGUAACGGAGGCGCCCAAAGGUUCCCUCAGACUGGUUGGCAAUCAGUCGUCGAGUGCAAUGGCACAAGGGAGCUUGACUGUGAGACAUACAGGUCGAGCAGGUGCGAAAGCAGGGCAUAGUGAUCCAGCGAUUGCGUGUGGAAGCGUCGUUGCUCAACGGAUAAAAGGUACCCCGGGGAUAACAGGCUCAUCUUCCCCAAGAGUCCAUAUCGACGGGAAGGUUUGGCACCUCGAUGUCGGCUCAUCGCAUCCUGGGGCUGAAGCAGGUCCCAAGGGUUGGGCUGUUCGCCCAUUAAAGCGGUACGCGAGCUGGGUUUAGAACGUCGUGAGACAGUUCGGUCCCUAUCCUCUGUGGCCGUAGGAGAUUUGAGGAAAGCUGUCCGUAGUACGAGAGGACCCGGAUGGACGCAGCUCUCGUGUGCCAGUUGUUCCGCCAGGAGCACGGCUGGUUGGCGACCUGCGGAAGGGAUAAGCGCUGAAAGCAUCUAAGCGCGAAGCCUGUUCCAAGAUGAGAUCUCCCACUGGUACAACCAGGUAAGGCCCGUGGCAGAUAACCACGUUGAUAGGCCGGAUGUGUACGCACAGCAAUGUGUUCAGCAGACCGGUACUAAUCGGCCGAGGGCUUGGUAUC
This 1013-nucleotide ribosomal RNA is filed under the name Acidimicrobiaceae bacterium. RNAcentral describes it as "partial 23S ribosomal RNA". It matches the Rfam family "Bacterial large subunit ribosomal RNA", at positions 1914 to 2925 of the family's 2925-position model. Lineage: Bacteria; Bacillati; Actinomycetota; Acidimicrobiia; Acidimicrobiales; Acidimicrobiaceae. The record is from RNAcentral.